CUCCCUGCUGCUGUGAAAAGUAACCCGGUGAGAACAACAAAAGCUUUUUUCAGGGUUUUGUACCUUCGACAGAAGCUCUGCAGCAAUCUCGCAUCUCCUCCGUUCUGUCUCCGCAGCACAGGUGAGAUUUCCCAUAUGUCUUCAUUUCGUGUCCAACUCCACGGAAACGGAGCCGACGUGAAUGAGAGUGGAGCUGAUGGAUUGCAGCCCGGGUCACGCAUGACUUAGCAUCUCGUUUUGCCUCCCCUCGCGACGGCGGAGUCGCUGGGAACAACAGCGAGGAUUUACACAGACGCGGGGGAAAAAAAGGUAAAUGAGCUGACUCGUUUCUGUCGAGGUCACAGAUCUUUGGAGGUGACUGUUCCAGUGACACAUGAUGGGCUUCACUUUCAUAAAAGUGGUCUUUAAUUACACCAAACUCUUUCAAAUUCAUUGACUUUUUGUAAACAUGACCGUGGUGGUUCUGAUCAGUGAGAACAGCCUUCAGCGUCUUCGUGACACCAAAUCUGCUGAUGAAAACCAAAGUCCUGAGAGGAGGCUGGAUCUGGACCCUCGGGCUCCUGACCAACUCACUGACGAAUCAUCGCUCUCAUCCUGCGUCGCCCUUCAUCACGCCGGAAUCGAUGGCGGAAACUUACCCAGGGACGUCAGCGAACAGCAAGGUCAAUAACAACAAUUAAGGCCCCCCAUGUAGACGAGUACAGAGGUGGAGGGUAACUAUUUCUGUUGUUUAACAUCUGUAUAGACUGAAACGAAGCACUUUGUGGAUGAGUUCAACACGAUGUGCUCCGUAGAGUCACUGCACCAGCCUGAAGAAUGAUUCAAAGCUCCACUCUGAUGUAAAACCUUUAAUGUAAAGACAACGUUCUCACCACCAUCUUGCUUCUUUACAUUCCCCCAGACAGAGCGUUCAUCAUUCAUCAUCCCGGGGCUUUAUUUAACUUGUUGAAAACCAUUUUAUUUGUGUUUUUGCAAUGGUUUUCACGUUCUGACGCGAUAUUCUUAUCUACUUCAGUUGUUAAGUAGAAUACUGGAAUGCUCUUUUGCUGUGAAGUGUUUUUUGGAUCCACAAACUUCCCCUAGUUUUCCAUCUACAUGUAGGUGAGUAGAUAAUGACUGAAUGUGAACUGUUCCUUUAAAAGCUAAAGGAUGACAGAAAUAUUAACUCCCAUGUUGUGACGUUCAGCUGUUGAUCAGAUUAACACACAGGACGUUAAAUUAAAUCAAACUCAGAGGCUGUAAGGAGAGACGCGAGAUCACGUUUGACAUUUUGGUCCCUUUAUUUCAUGUUAACCACAUUUCAAACAACUAAACAACCAAUGGUAAUGGCAUCACCAGAUCUAAACAACACUUUGCUAGACAAAUAAUCAUCAGAAUAAUAAUUAUACAAAAGAAAUGUACAAAUUCAAGACAAAAAAAGAAAACAAAACAAAUUAAAAAAAAAUUGAAAACAAAUAAAAUAUAUAAUACAGAUGAGCGGCCAUGAACCAAGCCAAUAAAAUAAAGCCUUAGUGGAAAAAAAACCCCAAAACAAAACAAAGAAAAAACAUUUCUGGCAUUCACAUCGUCUUCAAUACAACACUCUGACUGUCUUUGUCUUUAUAGGUCCAUUAACGAGCCUGACUGGACUCCAGCAAACAAAUAAAACGUAAGCGCAGACUGAACAGUUUGCCACAACAUUUUGCCACAAAGUAUGUCGGUUCUGGCCAAGAAGAGCAUCGACACUUUACAAACCAAACAAAUGUAACCAGAGAUGAGCUUCACCUGAGUGAAGUGUCAUUCCAAACUGAGCCAUCAGCUGUCUCCUAACGCUGACAUCUAUCGGUAUGAGCUGCUGACGUAAAAUAAAUGAAAUGAUGGGUUAGAAUCAGUUUUGAUUUGAUUAGAAAAGUGCUUCCGUCUUUAGUUUGAGUGACUCGUCCGCCAUGUUUGAAAAUGAAGCCCUUAAUUUGGUGUCUUCUUUACCUCAGACGACGCUGCGACUGUUCUUUAGUCCCCAGUAAAGACCAACGAAUCCCUAAAAAUCCUCACAGUCCUUUUGACUUGACACAGUUCAGAGGAUGCCGAAAUAAGAGCCUUUAAUAUCAGCUUGUUGUUUCGUCUUCCUCGCGUCUUUUAAGGGCAAUAUGAAAGUUUAAAGUCCGAUCAAAUGAGGAGACAAAGGGGAGCUGAAGUCAGCGGUUUAAUUCUCAUUAAGUCCUUCUCUUUGAGCUGCAGUGGCAUCUGAACUGUCAGCCAUGUUGACCUUCAUUCACCCCGGGGUCGAUCAUUAACUCACAUCAUUUCCUAUCACACCGGGCUGGAGAUUAAUUUCUAAACCUCGGUAGGUAUAGUGAAAAGCAAAUUUGAGGCUUUGUUUGCAGAGGGAGAGUAAAUGUGACCCGUCGCUUUGUCUUUGUGUUGUCAUCUUGAUGACAGCCAGCCGGCCCGGGGAGCACUCCUUCACUGAAAUGUACCCAGAAUAUAAAACAUCGUGUGGCUUAUAGUUCUGAUCCAAACCUUAUUAAUUAACAUGUUUUGAUCACCAUGGGUAGAGUUACUCUCAGUCAUCCGAAACUUGUGAAAUAUUAUUUCAGAGAUAACUCUUAACGGAAAAAAAUGUGUGAUCGUCUCCUGCGUGUUGCUUCGUGUGUUUGAAUGUUUGCUCUUCGUCCUUUCAACUAUUUCAAGUCAAACCAAGUAUUCAGAACCACGUAAACAAAUGGAUGAAAAAGUUGAAUAAAUGACUCGCUGUUGAGUUUUUCUAGAGCCCGACUGAUACUGGAGUUCUGAAGCUGGCGCUGGUACCAAUUUAAGAGAGCAAAUAUAUUCUGAUAUUGAUAUAACGCUUGUGACUCGGGCUGCAGCUAAAGAUUAUUUUCACUAUCGAUCAAUCUGCUGAAUGUUUUUUCUGCACUCAAGACAUCACAUAUGCCGAUACUGAUUUAUCUUGGAUAGGUGCUGAUACGAUCAGUCGGGCUCUAGUUCUUUCAUCUGGACCGCAGGGCGACCUGGUCGUUGGUGAUGUACUCAGAAUCAAGAGUUAAAUCCGAACAUCUCUCUAAAAGUCUCCUUCAAGAAAAACAAAUGUAAUUUCAAUCUUCUUCCUCACCGUAAGUCACUCUGAAUGUGGGCGUCAGCUUAACGUGCAAUAUGCAAAAAUAUAUUUCUUAAUUCUUUUGACGGCGUGUCUGAAUGGAGCGUUUGUAGGAAGGUAACAUAAGACUUUGUUUCAAACUAAAACUCACGGCUGAGAAUGACAGCGGCUGCUGUGUGGAGCGAUAGUGUGUUCUGAAAUGAGAACCUUUUGUUUGCGACGUGAUGUUUGUCUGUUUGUUUGUUUGUUUGACUGUGGUUGUCUUAUCUUAUUUACAGUCAGGGUGGAUGCACACUAUAAGAUUUUGGCAAGACUCACUUCACAUAAAGCCAUCCAGAAACAUUAAUGAUUUAUUUAUUUUUUUUCUUACAGCCUCAAUGAAAAAAAACAAAAGCAGGAGCCGAUAAAAACAACGUGUUUUCUUAAAGGCGAGGCGGGACUGUUGUUCUUUUGUCUGUUUGAUGCUGUUGUUAUUUAUCACCAUGCAUUGACUCCACGCAUCGUAGCUCGUCACAUGCUACACUAUUUGUUACCAUUUUUUUUUUCCCCCCCAGUAAAAGCAAAACUGUUGAUCUGAUGCAGCGUGAAGGAAAAAAGAAACCAUCCUCAGAUUUCUUUUUUUUGGGGUAACCAAUUACUGAAUUACAAGUCUCGUUGGUGUUUAACAUUGACGCAAUCAAGAGGCCGUAGCUGCGAGGAGAUUCAUCAGCGUUUGAUUUCAGAGAAAAAAGAAAAAAAAAAGCCAGAAAUAUUCACAAGUGUCUGUCGGCUUCUUGCUUUGAUCCAGCGACUGAAUCAUCGACAGAAAACAUCCGCAUCUCGUCUCUCUCUACAAACACUCUGGGUUGGAUAAACAUCUGAGUCGAGGCGUCGUU
Sparus aurata (gilthead seabream) is the source of this 3951-nucleotide long non-coding RNA. The record is from Ensembl. Lineage: Eukaryota; Metazoa; Chordata; Actinopteri; Spariformes; Sparidae.